RNA transcript from Trifolium pratense (red clover), 1858 nucleotides. RefSeq lists it as uncharacterized. The record is from RefSeq and is a predicted model, not a curated record. NCBI's taxonomy places the organism in Eukaryota, Viridiplantae, Streptophyta, Magnoliopsida, Fabales, Fabaceae. The transcript has 3 exons.
GAAAGAAAGAUAAAUCUCACUCACUCGCUUACUUUGUUUCUUUGUUUAACCUCAUUCUCACUCUCACUCUGCUUUCACCACAACACUAGUUGCUGUUUCGGCUUUCUCUUUCGCGCGCAACACUUCGCGACUCUCUCUCGACUCUCUCCGCUGCGCUCCCAACUCACUCUCCUUUCACCGCAACACUCAUCCUCUCGCGACUCUCUCUCUCCCUCUUCCUCUGAUUUCCAUCAUCGGUUGCAAUGGUCUAUUUUCCAACCAAAACUCUUCCCAAAAAACAACCAAAACCAAAACCCUUGUUUCUCAAACACAAAAUUUUCAAAAAAAAGGUUUCAAUUUCUGCAACAAAGAUCGAACAAAAGGAAAAGGAAAAGGAAAACGAGGAAAAAAUUGUUCUUGAUACACCAACAACAACAACAUCAUCAUCACUGCCCAUUCCUUUUAUCGAUGAUCUUAAGAUAAAGAACACUCUCUCCACUUGGAGACAGAUGACCACAAAACAUCAAAGAGAAAAGGCUCGCCUCCAUAUCCACAAAAUUCGAAAAACCACUCAUUUCGAAGCAAACCACGAGGCGAUGCGGGAGUUUCACAAACUCAUUGGACUAAAAUUUUGAAGUUUCUAUAUUUGUUGGAUGCUGCUAAUUUGUUAGGUUUGCUUAUGUUUCAAUGUUUUCUUUCUUUUGCAGAUAACUCUGAUUCGCUAGAUUCUGUGCAUUUGAGUGUGUGUAGAUGCUGACAAACUAUCAGGUUUUAUUGUUGUUUUCCUUCUUUUAUAAGAAUCACGCAUGCGGUUGUUGUUGAUUGUUUUGAUUCUCCAGCAUUUCAUCUGAAAAUCAUGCAUCAGUGCCAUUCAAGUUUGAUUCCUCCGAGGUCCUUCACCAACAAAAAAGUCACUCAACUUUUGAAGGUUUUUCAAUUCACCGAUUUUCAAUGGCAUCGACUUCAAGCAAGUGCCUCUAAUAUCCAAAUGGAUUCAGGUAACCUUGUAAUCUCGGUGUCAGACACUUCUAGAGAGCGCAGAUGUUUUAGUUCUCCUAUUGAAUCAGGUUUACAUACGAGGAACAAUGUGAAAUAAUGUGAGACAAAUAUGUGGUUAAUGACUUACAACAUAUGUUUCAGACUAUAAUUUGUGUUUGAUAGGAUAAGAUUUUAGAAGGAUGAGUUGUGCUUAGAUCUUGAGAAGACUAUUCAGUUGUGGUUGUAGAAAUUUUUUAUACCUAAAGAUAUAUCAUUUUACUGUCAUAAAUAAUGAGUUUCAUGUUCAAUGCCUAUUUUUUCCUCCUAUUCUUAAAAUGAAAAAAAUUCUGAUUUCAUUUAUUGUUGAAAUGAGGAUUGUUCAAUCUUUUGUCGGUGAAAGGCAGUGACUUACAUAUGCAUUGGUCUUAUCCUUUGAAAGAGGAUAUCUUUUAUCAUCGGUCAUUGCUUUACCGAUCUUUAGUAGCUGAUGUAAAUGAUAGCCGAUCAUUCUUUUCAACUGAGUACUACACCCUAGUCCUUUCCAUUUCUGUUGAUAAUAGAUGUUAGUAUUCCCGCUGUAUUGUAUUGUAUUGCAGGAAAGUUUAAUUUCAUUAGUGCCGAGGGUGGUCGAUCUUGUUGUUGACCGUGAUAUACCUGUUAUUUCAGCCGAAGGAUUUGUAGAUGCCAGAGGUUAUGUUGCUGCUCUAGCACUCGGUGCUCAAGGCGUCUGUGUAGGCUCUAGGCAUUUAAAUAUUUAUUUUUAUGUUAUAUAUGAAAGUCAAGGAAAAAGCUUCAUAUUCUUGAAUGAAUUUCUUAGAAUACACAUUUUUAUGUUUUUUUUCCGCUUCAUCCAUGGAAGUCUAUCUGUAGGCUAAUAACUUGCACAAAUGAGUUCCUUAUA